This is a non-coding RNA of Camelina sativa (false flax), 236 nucleotides long. The record is from RefSeq and is a predicted model, not a curated record. Lineage: Eukaryota; Viridiplantae; Streptophyta; Magnoliopsida; Brassicales; Brassicaceae.
AACAUCUGAGAAACCUUGCUUGAAGUUAUCGUCCUGCAAACGCAACACAGGAAAUCAGAACAUACAUGCGUUUGGGAUUAUGUUUAUCGCUGCAGUGAGUACUAUUCUACUCAUUAUCUACAAUUGUUCCGAUCACAUCCUAAAGAUCAGGGAAAAGAGGCAGGCGAAGUCAAGAGAAGCAGCCGUCAAGAAAGCGAGAGCUCAUCAGAGAUGGAAAGGUGCUAGAGAGGCUGCAA